GACGUAGGGGGCGAGCGUUGUCCGGAAUUACUGGGCGUAAAGAGCACGUAGGCGGGACCUUAAGUCAGGUGUGAAAGACCGGGGCCUAACCCCGGGGUGGCACUUGAAACUGGGGUUCUUGAGGGCAGGAGAGGACAGUAGAAUUCCUGGUGUAGCGGUGAAAUGCGUAGAAAUCAGGAGGAAUACCAGUGGCGAAGGCGACUGUCUGGACUGACCCUGACGCUGAGGUGCGAAAGCGUGGGUAGCAAACAGG
RNAcentral lists this ribosomal RNA (253 nucleotides) under uncultured prokaryote. Its description in RNAcentral is "partial 16S ribosomal RNA". It matches the Rfam family "Bacterial small subunit ribosomal RNA", at positions 524 to 776 of the family's 1533-position model. The record is from RNAcentral.